AGUGAACGCUGGCGGUAGGCCUAACACAUGCAAGUCGAACGGCAGCACAGUAAGAGCUUGCUCUUACGGGUGGCGAGUGGCGGACGGGUGAGGAAUACAUCGGCAUCUACUUUUUCGUGGGGGAUAACGUAGGGAAACUUACGCUAAUACCGCAUACGACCUACGGGUGAAAGCAGGGGAUCUUCGGACCUUGCGCGAUUGAAUGAGCCGAUGUCGGAUUAGCUAGUUGGCGGGGUAACGGCUCACCAAGGCGACGAUCCGUAGGUGGUCCGAGAGGAUGAUCAGCCGCACUGGAACGGGGACGCAGUCCAGACUCCGACGGGAGGCACCAGUGAGGAAUCUUGGACAAUGGGCGCAAGCCUGAUCCAGCCAUACCGCGUAGGUGUAAAAGGCCUUCGGGUUGUAAAGCCCUUUUGUUUGUAGAGAAAAGCAGCCUGUUAUUACCCCGCUGUACUGACGGUACCCAAAGAAUAAGCACCGGCUAACUCCGUG
Molecule: ribosomal RNA, 492 nt
Filed under: uncultured bacterium
Lineage: Bacteria
Description: partial 16S ribosomal RNA
Rfam family: Bacterial small subunit ribosomal RNA
Source: RNAcentral